AAAUAUUAAAUGUAUUUUAUAAAUGAAGAAUGCAUGUGUGUAUUUAUUUAUUUAUAUUUUUAUUUUGAGACGGAGUCUUGCUCUUUCGCCCAGGAUGGAGUGCAGUGGCGGGAUCUCCACUCACUGCAGGCUCCGCCUCCGGGGUUCAUGCCAUUAUCCUGCCUCAGCCUCCCGAGUAGCUGGGACUACAGGCGCCUGCCACCAAGCCCGGCUAAUUUUUUUGUAUUUUUAGUAGAGACGGGGUUUCACUGUGUUAGCCAGGAUGAUCUCGAUCUCCUGACCUCCUGAUCCGCCCGCCUCGGCCUCCAAAAGUGCUGGGAUUACAGGCGUG
Molecule: long non-coding RNA, 331 nt
Filed under: Homo sapiens (human)
Lineage: Eukaryota; Metazoa; Chordata; Mammalia; Primates; Hominidae
Description: HSALNT0379793
Source: RNAcentral